This 253-nucleotide ribosomal RNA is filed under the name uncultured bacterium. Its description in RNAcentral is "partial 16S ribosomal RNA". It matches the Rfam family "Bacterial small subunit ribosomal RNA", at positions 524 to 776 of the family's 1533-position model. The record is from RNAcentral.
GACGAACCGUGCGAACGUUGUUCGGAAUCACUGGGCUUAAAGGGCGCGUAGGCGGACUAUCAAGUCUGGGGUGAAAUCCCGCGGCUCAACCGUGGAACUGCCUCAGAUACUGACGGUCUCGAGGGAGGUAGGGGCAUGCGGAACUGUAGGUGGAGCGGUGAAAUGCGUUGAUAUCUACAGGAACUCCGGUGGCGAAAGCGGCGUGCUGGACCUUUUCUGACGCUGAGGCGCGAAAGCUAGGGGAGCAAACGGG